AUGCCCAACCCAGCCCCAAACCCCAACCCCAGCCCCAGCCAGGAGCGCAGCCACGAGAGCGGGGUCAAUACGAGAAGCAGCAGCAGCAGCACCAGCAGCAGCAGCAUAACUAUAACCACUCUUUUCUCAUCCCCAUCUCCCCUGGUUCCCGCAGGGCUCCGGGCGGCCGUGACCCUGCUGGAGUCCGGGGGGGACCUCCAGCCCCCCGGCGGGUCCCUGACGUUGCUCUGCCGAGGAUCCGGGUUCGAUUUCGGGAAUUACGAAAUGGAAUGGAUCCGCCAGAGACCCGGGCAGGGGAUGGAAUAUGUCGCGAGUAUCGGCAGUGGUGGCACCACCAGAUACGCGACAUCGGUGCGGGGCCGGUUCAGGAUCUCGAGGGACAACGGGCAGAGCUCGGUGACGCUGGCCAUGAGCAGCCUCAGGGACGAGGAUUCCGCCGUUUAUUUCUGCGCCAAAACUGCUUCCAGUUGUUGUGGCAUUGCUGGUGCUAGUUAUGGUGAAGGAUAA
Lonchura striata (white-rumped munia) is the source of this 507-nucleotide non-coding RNA. The record is from the annotation of a RefSeq genome assembly. NCBI's taxonomy places the organism in Eukaryota, Metazoa, Chordata, Aves, Passeriformes, Estrildidae.